GGAAGUUCUGAGUCAGGAUUCCACAAAGGUGACUUCCACAGGGACCUGUAUCCCUUGACCCUGAACCCAACACCUUCACCUGUUUACUUCCUUUAUUAACACCACAGUGAGAAGAGCCCUUUCCUUCAACUACCAUUUGCUUCCUGUGCUAGAUUAUUCUUACCAACUCAUCUUGGUCUACCACUCAGAACUUCAUUAAAAUUUCUAACUUUCUUGGUUUGGUCAGUAUUAAACUAGCACCAGUGACAUUUUCUCACUUGUGAGAAAAGGUUCCCUGCCCCAAUUAGGGGCUAAUUUCCCCCUCUCACUUGUGUGGAAAGCUAUCUGGAAGUGAUGGGAAAGGGCCUUGGAGUAGAGUUUUAGUCCCAACUUGGCCACUUAAUUUCGUGACCUUAGAUGAGUCUGUUUCCUUCUCUGUUUCCUCAAUUUACUGUAAAAAAAGUGGACACGCUGGUUGGUUUCUAAAGGCAUUUCAAUCCCAAUCUAUGUCAGUCCAACCUCCUCUCCCAGCCAGGAGAUUUUGGGUAGUGAAUCUACUGUGGUUCAUUACUCCCACCGGAUCUUAAACUUGACCCCAAACGCACAGAAGAGCUGGCCUUUGAAGCCUAACUAAAAGUAUACAGCAUAUGCAGGGCUUUGUGGGGUGUGGGGCAGACUGGAAGCCUCGCCUCGCCCAUUUCUCGCGGAGCAAGGGAGGGCUGUGCAGGAGCAGAAGACACCGAGGAAUCGUGGAGCUGUGCUGGCUGAUACUUUCCUGGAGACACAGAGACACAGAUGCCACUUCGAGGCAGGGCGAGGUGCCCCAGCGUGAGUGAGCUCAAUGGAAAGGAAGGCGUGCGGACUCCACCUCCCAAACCUACCCAAGAGAAGGAGGGCCAAGGUGAGCCAUAUGGCCCCGCCCCGCAAUUGAGGAGCGCGUCUGUAGAUUCUCGUUAACGAUUGGCUGCGAGGGAUGCGUCCUGAUGUAAUGACCAGAAGCCCUCGGAGCCCCAGCACGCAGGCGCAGUCAGCGGCAGCUCGGAGAUCAGAUACUCUGAGUCACCUCGGCCGAAGCCAUGGGAGCUCAGCUGAGCGGUGGCGGGGACGGCGACGGCGGACCUCCGCCGGGCCCGGCCCCGGAGCAGCCGGAGCCUGCGGCCCCCGGGGGCGGCGACCCGGCCCCCCGGCCCCGCCCGGACCCCGCCGCCUGGGGGCCCCUGGACGACGUUCGCUUCCUCGUCGUCUGCACCUCCUGGUACUAGCGGGAUCCCAGAGCAGCGUCGGGAGCCGGGGUCGCGCCUGCCGAGCCCCCUGCCAUGGACACCCCCGACUUUCUUUGCCCCUCUUCACAGCAUGA
This 1336-nucleotide long non-coding RNA is filed under the name Phascolarctos cinereus (koala). RNAcentral describes it as "lncRNA (ENSPCIG00000027975.2)". The record is from RNAcentral. Lineage: Eukaryota; Metazoa; Chordata; Mammalia; Diprotodontia; Phascolarctidae.